RNAcentral lists this long non-coding RNA (1696 nucleotides) under Salvator merianae (Argentine black and white tegu). RNAcentral's name for it is "lncRNA (ENSSMRG00000001261.1)". The record is from RNAcentral. Lineage: Eukaryota; Metazoa; Chordata; Lepidosauria; Squamata; Teiidae.
CUAUGUCUGAAAAACUACUAUAAACAAAGUGCUGGAGAGAUUAAACAAAAAAAGUGCUUUCAAUAGAGAAACAAACACAGAGGGUUGGGAAAGAUCAGGAGAUAGCAAUGCGUGGUUUGAUUCCAGACCCUGAAUACUAGCAUGGGGAAACAGUUAUAUGAGGGGCGGGGAGAAAAGACAAAAUCCGAUGUGUGAAAGAGGAAGAAACACUCUGUGGUAGAGCAGCAAGCUGUAUGGGACUGUGUACACAUGGCCUCAGAAUGAAACAGAUGAAUGGCUGUGCUUGAAGCCACAAGGUCUGACCGCUGGAAAAACAUUUAUUAAAAAGCGUGGAUAUGAAGAAAUGCUACUAGAAGAGCUGCCUUCUUUUGAGAAAGAAGACAAAACAGUGGAUUUGCUGAGCGAAGCUUCGUCUUUAACAAAAUGGCGGCGGUGUGCACUGAAUCAUUACUCGAAAUUGUCAGUGUUUUUCCCACCACCACCUCNCGGGCACGCACACGCUACAUUAUUCGCGUUCUUGAUGGCUCUUCACAAACUCGAAAUAGAAAAUACAAGACAAAUGAGCCUCUCAGUGUAUUUUUCCCUGAAAGUAAAGAGGUGNAAUUAAUUGUAAAAACAUAAUAACAUCCCUUUGGAGAGGAUGGAAAAAGGCACUACAAAGACAAAAUAAGUUGUUUAAAGUGAGAGUACCACUGGUGGAGCAAUGGAAUAUAUCCAUACAGACUUUCUUUGGAAGUAAAGGAGUGCGAGUAAACGCAAGAUAUAUUUUUCUCAAACGUUACANUGCUCAGACUAUCCAAAGAACGCCGUAUUUUACCACACUGGAAGUUUUGAGAAAUUCUAGGAUCGUAUUUAUAUUUUAACUGUGCUUUAUCGAAGCCUCAAAUUUGGCACCAGAGUUCAAAUUAAUGCAACCUUAUGUCCCAGAAAAAAUCGCCGUUUUGAGUUGCGCUCAAGCGNCUUUUACUAACUGGCUGAAUCGACACUGCUUUCUUCUCAUUCUAUAUACAGACUACUACAUUUAUAUUGCCGUCUCAUUUUUUUUCAAGUAAANUUUAUUACCCAGCUGCCCCAACUUUCAGAACGUUCUGGCAGCAAGUCUGGCUGAGUUGCCCGAGUCUUUUUUUUCUCCUCCUCUGUGUUAACCUCCCCUAGUCUGACUGCACAUUGCGGUGCUGAAGGAAAAAACAAAAAACUUCACUAUGUAUCAAGUUUUGUCAGCACAACCUUGGGCUAGGAAUUUUUCCAUUUACCAUUUUUUCUACAGAACUGUGUCUUGAAGGAUUCAGAAAAAAACAUCUUUAAAGUCACCCCAAAAUGCAGCCUUACAUUAUCCCUAUUUGGUGUGCAGUUUAUCUGGCAGGUGCUUUGACUUUUACUUUCCUCAAGGAUACAAUACUUGAAAUAACAUACCUGAUAGUGAUAACAGAUUUUCUUUUUUGACAAAACACUGUUGUUAUUCAGUGUCAAUAGGUUGGGUUAGGCUAGUGGUGAUCAAAUGGACAAACUGCUUACUAUUUUGACUUAUCCUAUAGCUUUCAUUCUAUCUUUCAUCCUUCAAACCUACCAAGCAAAAUCAGCACUGGUUUUAGUCCUUUAUCCACUCAUCAGAUGCCAAAAGUAUGUGAAUUUCUUGUUGAUACCACUUCAAGUGAGCAAAAAGGUUUUAAAUAAAUAAUACAACUAUUUAAAAACA